RNAcentral lists this small RNA (82 nucleotides) under Salix viminalis (osier). The record is from RNAcentral. Lineage: Eukaryota; Viridiplantae; Streptophyta; Magnoliopsida; Malpighiales; Salicaceae.
AGGAACCAUAUGAGGUGAAAAUCUCAUGUAUGGUUCUGUAAUAGCGAUGACGGAUGUGGUAAAUCACAGGUCUUAGUGCAAC